RNAcentral lists this ribosomal RNA (433 nucleotides) under uncultured bacterium. RNAcentral describes it as "partial 16S ribosomal RNA". It matches the Rfam family "Bacterial small subunit ribosomal RNA", at positions 29 to 507 of the family's 1533-position model. The record is from RNAcentral.
AACGAACGCUGGCGGCAUGCCUAACACAUGCAAGUCGAACGAGGCCUUCUGGUCUAGUUGCGCACGGGUGCGUAACGCAUCGGAACCUUCCCUUAGGUUCGGACUAACUUCCCGCAGGGGGUGCUAAUUCCGAAUGAUGUCUUCUGCCCAAUGAUUUCUCUCCUUUGAAUGUUCCCGCUUUGGAUUAGCUAGUUGGUAGGUUAAAAGACUACCAAGGGGACGAUCCAUAGCUGGUCUGAAAGCAUGACCAAACACACUGGGACAGAGACAAGGCCCAGACUCCUAGGGGAGGAAGCAGUGGGGAAUAUUGAACAAUGGGUGAAAGAAUGAUCCAGCAAGGCCGCGUGAGUGAUGAAGGACAGAGGGUUGUAAAGCUCUGUUACCAGGGAUGAUAAUGACAGUACCGGGAGAAUAAGCUACGGCUAACUCCGUG